Molecule: ribosomal RNA, 221 nt
Filed under: uncultured Lactobacillus sp.
Lineage: Bacteria; Bacillati; Bacillota; Bacilli; Lactobacillales; Lactobacillaceae
Description: partial 16S ribosomal RNA
Rfam family: Bacterial small subunit ribosomal RNA
Source: RNAcentral
AUAACACCUGGAAACAGAUGCUAAUACCGGAUAACAACAGAUUGAUGCCUAUCAAACUGUUUAAAAGAUGGUUCUGCUAUCACUCUUGGAUGGACCUGCGGUGCAUUAGCUAGUUGGUAGGGUAACGGCCUACCAAGGCGAUGAUGCAUAGCCGAGUUGAGAGACUGAUCGGCCACAUUGGGACUGAGACACGGCCCAAACUCCUACGGGAGGCAGCAGAG